AGCCUUCUUCAUCAACAAUCUUAGCAAUUAAUUCAAUACCUUCUUUAGCGGUUUUUACGCUUGGUAAAAUCAC
This 73-nucleotide transfer RNA is filed under the name Streptococcus parauberis. RNAcentral describes it as "tRNA-Lys". The record is from RNAcentral. Lineage: Bacteria; Bacillati; Bacillota; Bacilli; Lactobacillales; Streptococcaceae.